RNAcentral lists this ribosomal RNA (449 nucleotides) under uncultured bacterium. RNAcentral's name for it is "partial 16S ribosomal RNA". It matches the Rfam family "Bacterial small subunit ribosomal RNA", at positions 354 to 796 of the family's 1533-position model. The record is from RNAcentral.
GUGGGGAAUAUUCCGCAAUGGACGAAAGUCUGACGGAGCAACGCCGCGUGAGUGAUGAAGGUUUUCGGACUGUAAAGCUCUGUUGUUUAGGACGAAAGUGCCUGUUGCGGACAGUUACAGGUAUUGACGGUACUAAACGAGGAAGCCACGGCUAACUACGUGCCAGCAGCCGCGGUAAUACGUAGGUGGCAAGCGUUGUCCGGAAUUAUUGGGCGUAAAGAGCAUGUAGGCGGAGAUUUAAGUCUGUUGUGAAAAUGCGGGGCUCAACCCCGUAUUGCGAUGGAAACUGAAUUUCUUGAGUGCAGGAGAGGAAAGGGGAAUUCCCAGUGUAGCGGUGAAAUGCGUAGAUAUUGGGAGGAACACCAGUGGCGAAGGCGCCUUUCUGGACUGUGUCUGACGCUGAGAUGCGAAGCCAGGGUAGCGAACGGGAUUAGAAACCCUGGUAGUCC